This 465-nucleotide ribosomal RNA is filed under the name Vreelandella stevensii. RNAcentral describes it as "partial 16S ribosomal RNA". It matches the Rfam family "Bacterial small subunit ribosomal RNA", at positions 338 to 795 of the family's 1533-position model. The record is from RNAcentral. Lineage: Bacteria; Pseudomonadati; Pseudomonadota; Gammaproteobacteria; Oceanospirillales; Halomonadaceae.
CCUACGGGGGGCAGCAGUGGGGAAUAUUGGACAAUGGGCGAAAGCCUGAUCCAGCCAUGCCGCGUGUGUGAAGAAGGCCUUCGGGUUGUAAAGCACUUUCAGUGGGGAAGAAAGCCUUGGGGCUAAUACCCUCGAGGAAGGACAUCACCCACAGAAGAAGCACCGGCUAACUCCGUGCCAGCAGCCGCGGUAAUACGGAGGGUGCGAGCGUUAAUCGGAAUUACUGGGCGUAAAGCGCGCGUAGGCGGUCUGAUAAGCCGGUUGUGAAAGCCCCGGGCUCAACCUGGGAACGGCAUCCGGAACUGUCAGGCUAGAGUGCAGGAGAGGAAGGUAGAAUUCCCGGUGUAGCGGUGAAAUGCGUAGAGAUCGGGAGGAAUACCAGUGGCGAAGGCGGCCUUCUGGACUGACACUGACGCUGAGGUGCGAAAGCGUGGGUAGCAAACAGGAUUAGAUCCCCUUGUAGUC